GGAUGUUCCGGCAGAAAGCCAGCUCGCUCUCAGUGUCUCCUAACAUAAAUGAAAACACAGUGCCCUUCUGUGAUGCCAGAAUGCACAGAGGUGGCUCUUCACCAGCCAGCACGCAAGUCUGCAGAGGACACCAGCUGGCUGGCCUCCAGUUCAUUUCAGACCUGCUGCUCCCCACCUGGAGAUGGUGUCGUUUCCCACAGGUUGAGGGCUCAGUCCUUCAGGAAAGGCUAUAGAGACUAGCAUUCCUGUUCCCCAAGAUCACCGGGAAGCUAUUUCCUCCUGCCAGCUGCACCUUUAUCUGUCCCGUCCCUGUGACCCCCAACUCUUCUCAGAGACUGGGGAGCCUAGAAGGUGGAGACAGUGUCGAGAAGCUGGGCGAUGCCUGACAAGGGCUUCUGACACGAUGAGAUGAUUGCUUACCUGCCUGGCAUCCAGGAAUGCUCCCUGCAUAAGACCGUCACAUUCCUGUGUCAAUGCUGCCUGCCACACUGUGUCCCCAUCUAUCACCAGUUGUGGCCCACUAACCAGGCUGAGACAGGAGAUCUGGGAAGUGGGGUCAGCAGAGCUACAGACUGACCUUUCAGUGGCUAAAUGCAUUAUUCAGAUUGAUGAGAAUAAGAACUGGGACUCUACUGGAUUAUUAAAGAACUGGAACUCUACUGGAUUGUUAAAGCCCAAAGCUUCAACUGGAGGAAUGAUAGGUUCUCUGCAUGGUCAUCUGAGGCCUGUUCUCACUCUUGAGUCAAGCCCACCACCAGAAAGAUGUUUAGGCCAUUAGAACUCCAUCUAAAUCUUGUGGACACCUUUGAAGUUGAUGAUGUGGGUAUGAGAACCAGAUCCUGCUUCCAUCAGCUCACCAAGGAAGUUGAGACUGCAGGCUACCAGCAAAGUUGG
Peromyscus maniculatus bairdii (prairie deer mouse) is the source of this 894-nucleotide long non-coding RNA. RefSeq lists it as uncharacterized. The record is from RefSeq and is a predicted model, not a curated record. NCBI's taxonomy places the organism in Eukaryota, Metazoa, Chordata, Mammalia, Rodentia, Cricetidae.